RNAcentral lists this ribosomal RNA (2802 nucleotides) under Escherichia coli. RNAcentral's name for it is "partial 23S ribosomal RNA". It matches the Rfam family "Bacterial large subunit ribosomal RNA". The record is from RNAcentral. Lineage: Bacteria; Pseudomonadati; Pseudomonadota; Gammaproteobacteria; Enterobacterales; Enterobacteriaceae.
ACCGGCGAUUUCCGAAUGGGGAAACCCAGUGUGUUUCGACACACUAUCAUUAACUGAAUCCAUAGGUUAAUGAGGCGAACCGGGGGAACUGAAACAUCUAAGUACCCCGAGGAAAAGAAAUCAACCGAGAUUCCCCCAGUAGCGGCGAGCGAACGGGGAGGAGCCCAGAGCCUGAAUCAGUGUGUGUGUUAGUGGAAGCGUCUGGAAAGGCGUGCGAUACAGGGUGACAGCCCCGUACACAAAAAUGCACAUAUUGUGAGCUCGAUGAGUAGGGCGGGACACGUGGUAUCCUGUCUGAAUAUGGGGGGACCAUCCUCCAAGGCUAAAUACUCCUGACUGACCGAUAGUGAACCAGUACCGUGAGGGAAAGGCGAAAAGAACCCCGGCGAGGGGAGUGAAAAAGAACCUGAAACCGUGUACGUACAAGCAGUGGGAGCCUCUUAAUGGGGUGACUGCGUACCUUUUGUAUAAUGGGUCAGCGACUUAUAUUCUGUAGCAAGGUUAACCGAAUAGGGGAGCCGAAGGGAAACCGAGUCUUAACUGGGCGUUAAGUUGCAGGGUAUAGACCCGAAACCCGGUGAUCUAGCCAUGGGCAGGUUGAAGGUUGGGUAACACUAACUGGAGGACCGAACCGACUAAUGUUGAAAAAUUAGCGGAUGACUUGUGGCUGGGGGUGAAAGGCCAAUCAAACCGGGAGAUAGCUGGUUCUCCCCGAAAGCUAUUUAGGUAGCGCCUCGUGAAUUCAUCUCCGGGGGUAGAGCACUGUUUCGGCAAGGGGGUCAUCCCGACUUACCAACCCGAUGCAAACUGCGAAUACCGGAGAAUGUUAUCACGGGAGACACACGGCGGGUGCUAACGUCCGUCGUGAAGAGGGAAACAACCCAGACCGCCAGCUAAGGUCCCAAAGUCAUGGUUAAGUGGGAAACGAUGUGGGAAGGCCCAGACAGCCAGGAUGUUGGCUUAGAAGCAGCCAUCAUUUAAAGAAAGCGUAAUAGCUCACUGGUCGAGUCGGCCUGCGCGGAAGAUGUAACGGGGCUAAACCAUGCACCGAAGCUGCGGCAGCGACGCUUAUGCGUUGUUGGGUAGGGGAGCGUUCUGUAAGCCUGUGAAGGUGGCCUGUGAGGGUUGCUGGAGGUAUCAGAAGUGCGAAUGCUGACAUAAGUAACGAUAAAGCGGGUGAAAAGCCCGCUCGCCGGAAGACCAAGGGUUCCUGUCCAACGUUAAUCGGGGCAGGGUGAGUCGACCCCUAAGGCGAGGCCGAAAGGCGUAGUCGAUGGGAAACAGGUUAAUAUUCCUGUACUUGGUGUUACUGCGAAGGGGGGACGGAGAAGGCUAUGUUGGCCGGGCGACGGUUGUCCCGGUUUAAGCGUGUAGGCUGGUUUUCCAGGCAAAUCCGGAAAAUCAAGGCUGAGGCGUGAUGACGAGGCACUACGGUGCUGAAGCGACAAAUGCCCUGCUUCCAGGAAAAGCCUCUAAGCAUCAGGUAACAUCAAAUCGUACCCCAAACCGACACAGGUGGUCAGGUAGAGAAUACCAAGGCGCUUGAGAGAACUCGGGUGAAGGAACUAGGCAAAAUGGUGCCGUAACUUCGGGAGAAGGCACGCUGAUAUGUAGGUGAAGCGACUUGCUCGUGGAGCUGAAAUCAGUCGAAGAUACCAGCUGGCUGCAACUGUUUAUUAAAAACACAGCACUGUGCAAACACGAAAGUGGACGUAUACGGUGUGACGCCUGCCCGGUGCCGGAAGGUUAAUUGAUGGGGUUAGCGGUAACGCGAAGCUCUUGAUCGAAGCCCCGGUAAACGGCGGCCGUAACUAUAACGGUCCUAAGGUAGCGAAAUUCCUUGUCGGGUAAGUUCCGACCUGCACGAAUGGCGUAAUGAUGGCCAGGCUGUCUCCACCCGAGACUCAGUGAAAUUGAACUCGCUGUGAAGAUGCAGUGUACCCGCGGCAAGACGGAAAGACCCCGUGAACCUUUACUAUAGCUUGACACUGAACAUUGAGCCUUGAUGUGUAGGAUAGGUGGGAGGCUUUGAAGUGUGGACGCCAGUCUGCAUGGAGCCGACCUUGAAAUACCACCCUUUAAUGUUUGAUGUUCUAACGUGGGCCCCUUACCGGGGUUGCGGACAGUGUCUGGUGGGUAGUUUGACUGGGGCGGUCUCCUCCUAAAGAGUAACGGAGGAGCACGAAGGUUGGCUAAUCCUGGUCGGACAUCAGGAGGUUAGUGCAAUGGCAUAAGCCAGCUUGACUGCGAGCGUGACGGCGCGAGCAGGUGCGAAAGCAGGUCAUAGUGAUCCGGUGGUUCUGAAUGGAAGGGCCAUCGCUCAACGGAUAAAAGGUACUCCGGGGAUAACAGGCUGAUACCGCCCAAGAGUUCAUAUCGACGGCGGUGUUUGGCACCUCGAUGUCGGCUCAUCACAUCCUGGGGCUGAAGUAGGUCCCAAGGGUAUGGCUGUUCGCCAUUUAAAGUGGUACGCGAGCUGGGUUUAGAACGUCGUGAGACAGUUCGGUCCCUAUCUGCCGUGGGCGCUGGAGAACUGAGGGGGGCUGCUCCUAGUACGAGAGGACCGGAGUGGACGCAUCACUGGUGUUCGGGUUGUCAUGCCAAUGGCACUGCCCGGUAGCUAAAUGCGGAAGAGAUAAGUGCUGAAAGCAUCUAAGCACGAAACUUGCCCCGAGAUGAGUUCUCCCUGAGACUUAGAGUCUCCUGAAGGAACGUUGAAGACGACGACGUUGAUAGGCCGGGUGUGUAAGCGCAGCGAUGCGUUGAGCUAACCGGUACUAAUGAACCGUGAGGCUUAACCUU